ACAUGCAAGUCGAACGAUGAAGCUACAGCUUGCUGUGGUGGAUUAGUGGCGAACGGGUGAGUAAUACGUGAGUAACCUGCCCUUGUCUUUGGGAUAAGCCUGGGAAACUGGGUCUAAUACCGGAUAUUCUGCUUUCAUCGCAUGGUGGGGGUUGGAAAGGGUUUCUGGAUAGGGAUGGGCUCACGGCCUAUCAGCUUGUUGGUGGGGUGAUGGCCUACCAAGGCGUCGACGGGUAGCCGGCCUGAGAGGGUGACCGGCCACAUUGGGACUGAGAUACGGCCCAGACUCCUACGGGAGGCAGCAGUGGGGAAUAUUGCACAAUGGACGCAAGUCUGAUGCAGCGACGCCGCGUGGGGGAUGAAGGCUUUCGGGUUGUAAACUCCUUUCAGUACAGAACAAGGCCUUUUUGGUUGAGGGUAUGUGCAGAAGAAGCGCCGGCUAACUACGUGCCAGCAGCCGCGGUAAUACGUAGGGCGCGAGCGUUGUCCGGAAUUAUUGGGCGUAAAGAGCUCGUAGGCGGUUUGUUGCGCCUGCUGUGAAAGACCGGGGCUUAACUUCGGGGUUGCAGUGGGUACGGGCAGACUAGAGUGUGGUAGGGGUAAUUGGAAUUCCUGGUGUAGCGGUGGAAUGCGCAGAUAUCAGGAGGAACACCCGAUGGCGAAGGCAGGUUACUGGG
This 676-nucleotide ribosomal RNA is filed under the name Trueperella bernardiae. RNAcentral's name for it is "bacterial SSU rRNA". It matches the Rfam family "Bacterial small subunit ribosomal RNA", at positions 53 to 733 of the family's 1533-position model. The record is from RNAcentral. Lineage: Bacteria; Bacillati; Actinomycetota; Actinomycetes; Actinomycetales; Actinomycetaceae.